CUGCUGCCGCCGGGCUCCUGACCUGAAGGGGGCACCUCGUCUCCACUUCCGUGCCGGCCGCAAUGAGUCAAACUGACUCAGUCCUGUAAGCCCGCCAGCCGCGGGCUGUAACGAGGUGCCGGGAAAUCACGGCACAUGUGCGCGGCUGCAGUGACUGUGGGAGUUAAGAGAGAAGCUGCUGCUGCCACCGUUGCUGCGGGUGAGUGUGCGGGGAGGGGAAGGUUGUUGGACACGCGUGCAAGGCAGUGUUAUAGCUACAAAAGUCGGUACCACAUGUUGAAUGGGCACCUGGAGCUGAGGCUCUCCCCUGUGCCGAGUGUAUCUGCUCAGCCCAUGACUGCUACUAAUCUGGAACUGCUUCUGCUGCCGACGAUUAGGAACGAGGUGGCUUUGUUCUGGACACUAAUCCUCAUACAGACAAUGCCUAUAAAAAAGAAAACCCUGACAACUGGCAGUAUGUUGCAGGUAUAACUGUGCCUAACAGGGACCACAACUACCAAAGUCCUACCGUGCAAUCCUAAUGAAAAACCUUCACAAGUGAAUUACCGAAAGAUGAACCUUCUGACUUUUCCAAGGAAAGGCCAACUCCAAAGCCAAGCUGAAACUUGAUCCAUAGAGCUUAGUGAUACCAGGCAAACACUAGAAGCGGUAGGGCCCAUAAAUAAAAAGCAAUUGAAUAGUAAACGAACAA
Long non-coding RNA from Pseudophryne corroboree (corroboree frog), 691 nucleotides. RefSeq lists it as uncharacterized. Lineage: Eukaryota; Metazoa; Chordata; Amphibia; Anura; Myobatrachidae. The record is from RefSeq and is a predicted model, not a curated record. The transcript is spliced from 3 exons.